CUGACUGCUAUCGGAUUGAUACUAAGCCAUGCGAGUCAUUGUAGUAAUACAAGGCAGACGGCUCAGUAACGCGUAGUCAACCUAACCUAUGGACGGGGAUAAUCUCGGGAAACUGAGCAUAAUACCCGAUAGAACAUUAUGCCUGGAAUGGUUUAUGUUCCAAAUGAUUUAUCGCCGUAGGAUGGGACUGCGGCCCAUCAGUUUGUUGGUGAGGUAAUGGCCCACCAAGACUAUUACAGGUACGGGCUCUGAGAGGAGUAGCCCGGAGAUGGGUACUGAGACACGGACCCAGGCCCUAUGGGGCGCAGCAGGCGAGAAAACUUUGCAAUGUGCGAAAGCACGACAAGGUUAAUCCGAGUGGUUUCUGCUAAAGGAACCUUUUGACAGUCCUAGAAACACUGUUGAAUAAGGGGUGGGCAAGUUCUGGUGUCAGCCGCCGCGGUAAAACCAGCACCUCAAGUGGUCAGGAUGAUUAUUGGGCCUAAAGCAUCCGUAGCCGGCUCUGUAAGUUUUCGGUUAAAUCUGUACGCUCAACGUACAGGCUGCCGGGAAUACUGCAGAGCUAGGGAGUGGGAGAGGUAGACGGUACUCGGUAGGAAGGGGUAAAAUCCUUUGAUCUAUUGAUGACCACCUGUGGCGAAGGCGGUCUACCAGAACACGUCCGACGGUGAGGGAUGAAAGCUGGGGGAGCAAACCGGAUUAGAUACCCGGGUAGUCCCAGCUGUAAACCAUGCAAACUCAGUGAUGCAUUGGCUUGUGGCCAAUGCAGUGCUGCAGGGAAGCCCGUUAAGUUUGCCGCCUGGGAAGUACGUACGCAAGUUUGAAACUUAAAGGAAUUGGCGGGG
Molecule: ribosomal RNA, 845 nt
Filed under: uncultured marine archaeon
Lineage: Archaea
Description: bacterial SSU rRNA
Rfam family: Archaeal small subunit ribosomal RNA
Source: RNAcentral